UACGUAGGGUGCAAGCGUUAUCCGGAAUUAUUGGGCGUAAAGAGCUCGUAGGCGGUUUGUCGCGUCUGCUGUGAAAACUGGAGGCUCAACCUUGGGCUUGCAGUGGGUACGGGCAGACUAGAGUGCGGUAGGGGUGACUGGAAUUCCUGGUGUAGCGGUGGAAUGCGCAGAUAUCAGGAGGAACACCGAUGGCGAAGGCAGGUCACUGGGCCGCAACUGACGCUGGAGGAG
RNAcentral lists this ribosomal RNA (231 nucleotides) under uncultured bacterium. Its description in RNAcentral is "partial 16S ribosomal RNA". It matches the Rfam family "Bacterial small subunit ribosomal RNA", at positions 524 to 753 of the family's 1533-position model. The record is from RNAcentral.